UUAAAUUGAAGAGUUUGAUCAUGGCUCAGAUUGAACGCUGGCGGCAGGCCUAACACAUGCAAGUCGAACGGUAACAGGAGCAG
Molecule: ribosomal RNA, 83 nt
Filed under: Salmonella enterica
Lineage: Bacteria; Pseudomonadati; Pseudomonadota; Gammaproteobacteria; Enterobacterales; Enterobacteriaceae
Description: partial 16S ribosomal RNA
Rfam family: Bacterial small subunit ribosomal RNA
Source: RNAcentral